AGUGAACGCUGGCGGUAGGCCUAACACAUGCAAGUCGAACGGCAGCACAGUAAGAGCUUGCUCUUACGGGUGGCGAGUGGCGGACGGGUGAGGAAUAAAUCGGAAUCUACUUUUUCGUGGGGGAUAACGUAGGGAAACUUACGCUAAUACCGCAUACGACCUACGGGAGAAAGCAGGGGAUCUUCGGACCUUGCGCGAUUGAAUGAGCCGAUGUCGGAUUAGCUAGUUGGCGGGGUAAAGGCCCACCAAGGCGACGAUCCGUAGCUGGUCUGAGAGGAUGAUCAGCCACACUGGAACUGAGACACGGUCCAGACUCCUACGGGAGGCAGCAGUGGGGAAUAUUGGACAAUGGGCGCAAGCCUGAUCCAGCCAUACCGCGUGGGUGAAGAAGGCCUUCGGGUUGUAAAGCCCUUUUGUUGGGAAAGAAAAUCAGCAGGUUAAUACCCCGCUGUUCUGACGGUACCCAAAGAAUAAGCACCGGCUAACUUCGUG
RNAcentral lists this ribosomal RNA (492 nucleotides) under uncultured bacterium. RNAcentral's name for it is "partial 16S ribosomal RNA". It matches the Rfam family "Bacterial small subunit ribosomal RNA", at positions 29 to 507 of the family's 1533-position model. The record is from RNAcentral.